RNAcentral lists this unclassified non-coding RNA (414 nucleotides) under Hevea brasiliensis (rubber tree). The record is from RNAcentral. Lineage: Eukaryota; Viridiplantae; Streptophyta; Magnoliopsida; Malpighiales; Euphorbiaceae.
GCCCAACACCAUUCUAUACAAAAAUUCACAAUUGGAAGUUGAUUACAACGAAGAAGAAGAAGAAGAAGAACACUAAUAAAUUUUCUUUUAUUAUUGUUGUUUUAAGUAUUAGUUUACAUGAACAAAAGUUUUCAACACCUUGAGUUCCUCUAUCUUUGCCUCAAACGACGACUCCACACUCCCACAGGAACUCAUUCAAGCAUGAAAUAAAACAGAGGACCAAAGCAGAGCCUAAUUACAGAACAUUCUAAUUUGCACACACACGUUCAUGCCUUAAUCAACUUCUUCGAUCUUGGGCCCGGCACCAGAACCGCCGGAGCUAGUCUUGCCAUAGUUGCUGUUCGGCAUUUCGGCGCCACCCACUGGUACAUCACCCUCAGCACCGCCCUGAUACAUCUUUGCAAUAAUUGGAUU